UAGGGAAUUUUCGUCAAUGGGCGCAAGCCUGAACGAGCAAUGCCGCGUGAGUGAGGAAGGUCUUCGGACUGUAAAGCUCUGUUGCCGGGAAAAAGGGGAAAUGCAGGAAAUGGCAUUUCAUGGAUGGUACCCGGCCAGAAAGCCACGGCUAACUACGUGCCAGCAGCCGCGGUAAUACGUAGGUGGCGAGCGUUAUCCGGAAUGAUUGGGCGUAAAGGGUGCGCAGGCGGUCUGUUAAGUCUGAAGGCAAAGGGAUGAGCUCAACUCAUUUAUGAUUCAGAAACUGGCAGACUUGAGGACAGGAGAGGGCGGUGGAACUCCAUGUGUAGCGGUAAAAUGCGCAGAGAUAUGGAAGAACACCAGUGGCGAAGGCGGCCGCCUGGCCUGUGACUGACGCUGAGGCACGAAAGCGUGGGGAGCAAAGUAGGAUUAGAUACC
RNAcentral lists this ribosomal RNA (438 nucleotides) under uncultured bacterium. RNAcentral's name for it is "bacterial SSU rRNA". It matches the Rfam family "Bacterial small subunit ribosomal RNA", at positions 355 to 786 of the family's 1533-position model. The record is from RNAcentral.